Molecule: long non-coding RNA, 2770 nt
Organism: Canis lupus familiaris (dog)
Lineage: Eukaryota; Metazoa; Chordata; Mammalia; Carnivora; Canidae
Exons: 3
Source: RefSeq, a predicted model, not a curated record
GGUCAGCAGGUGUCAGCACCCGGGGUCAGCAGGUGUCAGCACCCGGGGUCAGCAGGUGUCACCCGGGGUCAGCCGCGGUCUGCAAGCACCUGCUUUCUUGUGAUGAAUUCGUAGGCCGGCAGGUGCCUACCGCCGUUCAGGCCACGUCAUCUCAUUGCCCGGGCAUUUUGCCAUUUCGUGGCGCCACCAGAAGGGCCAGCGCAGCCCAGUAGGGUAUUUUGAGAGACCGUAUUUACAUAGCUUUCAUUACAAUAUAUUGUUAUAAGGGCGCCCGGGUGGCUCGGGUGGCUCGGGUGGCUCAGGGGGUUAAGCAUCUGCCUUGGGCUCAGGUCAUGAUCCCACGGUUAUGGGAUCAAGCCCCGUAUGGUCAUGGGAUCGAGCCCGCAUUGAUGGGAUUGAGCCCCACAUCGAUGGGAUUGAGCCCCAUGUGGUUAUGGCAUCGAGCCCUGCAUCGAUGGGAUCGAGCCCCGCCUCUAUGGGAUCGAGCCCUGCAUCGGUGGGAUUGAGCCCCACGUGGUUAUGGGAUCGAGCCCCGCAUUGGGCUCCCUGCUCAGCGAGGGAACCUGCUUCUCCCUCUCCCUCUGCUACUCCUCGUGCUUCUGCUCUCUUGCUCUCUGUCAAUUAAAUAAAUAAAAUCUUUUUUUUAAUUUAAAAAUAUUAUAAUUGUGCUAAUGCUGCUAAUCUCUUAGUGUGGCUAGUUUACAGAUUGAACUGUUUUUUUCUUUUUAAAGAUUUUAUUUAUUUAUUCAUAGAGACACAGAGAGAGGCAGAGACACAGGCAGAGGGAGAAGCAGGCUGGAUCCCCGACCCGGGGAUCACGACCUGAGCCAAAGGGAGACGCUCAACCACUGAGCCACCCAGGCGUCCCCAGAUUAAACUUUAUCUUAGAUGCGUAUGAAUAGGAAAAAACAGUACAUACUGCAUAUCUGCAGUGUCAGGCAUGGGGGCGGGUGUUGGGCCUCGGACCAUAUUCUCUAAGGACAAGGUGGGGGCUACUGUAAACAACGAAGAGCAUCAUUUUCACGUUUGUAACUUGUGAUAUGUGAUGUGCGUAUAUGAAACCAUUGUACUGUAUGCCUUAAAUGCAUACAGUAUUGCAGGUCCAACUCCAUCUCAGUAAAACUGGUGGGGGUGGGGGAAUGGGGAGAAGAAAAAAGGAAACUCAUCCAAAACCUCUGGUCACAAAAGGGGAAAAAAUGCCUCCUGGUAGCAUUUGAAAACCACUGCUUUGUGCUACAUCACAGUUUCUGUUCUGCUAUUUCACAUCAGAGACUGAAUUGACCUCCGUGCUAGUUGAAUCCUCCAGCUCGUGGCUGCAAUGAAAGAGACUCAAUAUUUAACAGUAGAGCUGGCCUUGGAACUGGAAGCAAAGGCGCUGACCACAUUCCCAGGGCAGAGCAAUUCCUUCCCAUUUGAUUACUUCACAGCACAAACGACGGCUGGAUAUUGAGAAUAAACAAGCAAGUGAGGCAGCUUUACCACUCAGCUCCCUGAGAACUCCACUCCAUCCUCCAGCCUUGCAGGAGAGGGACUGAUGGAGAGUAAGCUGUGCUCAGACAGGUUUUAAGGAGCUCCUGAUAACAUUUAUGCUUCGUCUUCACGUAGUGGGCAGCUCCUCCUCUCCUGUGCACGCUAUUCCUUUAGUUCCCGUGAGGAGGCUAUGUUCUGUGCAGGUAAAAGUGGGAAUUCGUUUCUGGCUCGAUCCAAUCAUAACCACACUGUCAACUUUACAAGAUGCUAAUUACGAAAUAAGAGACAAUUGGUUGUGUUUUAUGAGGCUGUUAGGACAUGCCCAGUAUGCCCAGGAAGUGAGCCAGGAGAUUGAAACGCAAGUGCUUUGGGCUGUUCCUCCGUGUGUGUUACUGGCUCAAUUAAACAUACCUUAAAGGAGCGCUUCUUCUUCUUCCGCAGUGGGUGUUUCAUAAUUUGUUUUGUUAGAUGUUGCCCCGAGCAAGUCCUCUGAGGCCGAAGGAGUUCUGAAGCUCUAUUUCCAAACACGUUCCAUGAUUCCUCUCACUCAGCCCCUUACAGGGAAGAGGAUCUGGAAAAGAUUUCACCGCAAGAUUUCACCCUGAGAAUCAAGGCCACUGAGAAGCAGGGACAUUUUUAAAGAAACUCCAUAACUGCCCUCAUAACUGAUUUGGACAGAACAGACACACUUGAGUAAACGCUGGGGCGUCUCGCUUCUUUGCAAAGGACUCCAUCACUACUAUUUAAGUCAACAUUGAUGUGAAGAUAUUUCCAUUUUUCUUUGCUCCCUAGAGCAUCGUUGGUUCAGAUCUCACGGCUGAAGUUCACACUGGAGAUUCUUUGCACUAUUCCUUUGGUUUUUUUUUGUUUUGUUUUGUUUUGUUUUUUUAAUAAAAGCAACAGAAAAAUCUAGUUCCAAGUCAAUGUUUCCAAUAUCAGCUUCUUUCAGAGUUAAUAGCUACAUGAUCAAAUCAAAAUGUCAUUUUUAAGGGACGUCUGGGUGGCUCGGUCAGUUGAGCAUCCAACUCAUGAUUUCGACUGGGGUCAUGACCUUAGGGUCAUAGGAUCAAGGCCCCAGUUGGGUUCUGUGCUUGCUGUAGAAUCUGCUUGAAAUCUCACUUGAGAUUCCCUGACCCCACCCACAUCAUGCUCAUGCUCAUUCUCUCUCUCUCUCUCUCUCUUAAAUAAAUAAAUACAUAAAUUUUAAUGGCAUUUUUAAGGAGAAAGAAAAAGAAUAGUGUAAAGUUCUUGUGACCUUAAAUAAUUGUAUUCACUACAUAAUAAAUAUUUGGAUUUGAAA